CUACGGGUCGCAGCAGUGAGGAAUAUUGCACAAUGGAGGAAACUCUGAUGCAGCAACGCCGCGUGGAGGAUGACGCAUUUCGGUGUGUAAACUCCUUUUAUAUGUCAAGAAAAUGACGGUAGCAUAUGAAUAAGCACCGGCUAACUCCGUGCCAGCAGCCGCGGUAAUACGGAGGGUGCAAGCGUUACUCGGAAUCACUGGGCGGAAAGGACGCGUAGGCGGGAUAUCAAGUCAGGUGUGGAAUCCUACAGCUUAACUGUAGAACUGCACUUGAAACUGGUAACCUAGAGUAUGGGAGGGGGAGAUGGAAUUAGUGGUGUAGGGGUAAAAUCCGUAGAUAUCACUAGGAAUACCUAAAGCGAAGGCGAUCUCCUGGAACAUAACUGACGCUAAGGCGUGAAAGCGUGGGGAGCAAACAGGAUUAGAUACCCGUGUAGUC
RNAcentral lists this ribosomal RNA (439 nucleotides) under uncultured bacterium. RNAcentral describes it as "partial 16S ribosomal RNA". It matches the Rfam family "Bacterial small subunit ribosomal RNA", at positions 339 to 795 of the family's 1533-position model. The record is from RNAcentral.